GCCGGUUUAGCUCAGCUGGUAGAGCAGCGGUUUUGUAAACCGAAGGUCGCGGGUUCGAUCCCUGCAACCGGCA
Molecule: non-coding RNA, 73 nt
Organism: Proteobacteria bacterium SG_bin5
Lineage: Bacteria; Pseudomonadati; Pseudomonadota
Source: Rfam